Molecule: non-coding RNA, 210 nt
Organism: Pelobates cultripes (western spadefoot toad)
Lineage: Eukaryota; Metazoa; Chordata; Amphibia; Anura; Pelobatidae
Source: the annotation of a GenBank genome assembly
GUGUGAGCAGGGUUAAAUCCCUGCUCACACUAGGAAACCCAGGUAUCAUUAGAUACCUGGGGCUUCCCUCUGUCAGCUGGGGUUAUUUUUAGUGGCCCCAGGCUUUUUGAUGAGCUGCAUGCAGUGCUGAAAGUCAGCACUGCAUGUAGCCCUUUAAAUCCACAAAGAACACUGCAGCCGAGCGAUCUAGCUCCGCUACAGUCAUACUCU